CACGUAGUUAGCCGGGGCUUCUUAGUCAGGUACCGUCAUUUUCUUCCCUGCUGAUAGAGCUUUACAUACCGAAAUACUUCUUCACUCACGCGGCGUCGCUGGAUCAGGGUUCCCCCCCAUUGUCCAAUAUUCCCCACUGCUGCCUCCCGUAGGAGUUUGGGCCGUGUCUCAGUCCCAAUGUGGCCGUUCACCCUCUCAGGCCGGCUACUGAUCGUCGCCUUGGUGGGCCGUUACCCCGCCAACCAGCUAAUCAGACGCGGGUCCAUCCUGUACCACCGGAGUUUUUCACACUGUAUCAUGCGAUACUGUGCGCUUAUGCGGUAUUAGCACCUAUUUCUAAGUGUUAUCCCCCUGUACAGGGCAGGUUCCCCACGCGUUACUCACCCGUCCGCCACUAAGAUGCCAACAUUUCCACUCUCAGCAAGCUAAUCGCUUCAAAAAUGGCAUCCCCGUUCGACUUGCAUGUGUUAAGCACGCCGCCAGCGUUCAUCCUGAGCCAGGAUC
RNAcentral lists this ribosomal RNA (504 nucleotides) under uncultured Lachnospiraceae bacterium. RNAcentral describes it as "partial 16S ribosomal RNA". Lineage: Bacteria; Bacillati; Bacillota; Clostridia; Lachnospirales; Lachnospiraceae. The record is from RNAcentral.